CAAGCUUAUCAGUUAUCAUUUAAACAAAACAAAAAUUUUCUCUCUCUUUUCCCCCUCUUGAAUCAAGAGCAAGGAUUGAAGGAGUUCUCAAGAUUGAGCUAAAGAGAAGAUUUUGAUUUAUAUUCAAAUUAUUGAUUUUGCAGUUUCAGAGUCGAAGUGGCCAUGGAAGUGGAGAAUGACUAGGGAUAAGAAUUUUACAUAACAUUUUAGUUGAACUUGUUAAGUUUUAUUUUAUUUUAUUUUAUGAUACUACCUUAGUUUUGGCAAGUUGACUUUGAAAUUAGUUUAAAUUUUCUUUAUAAAUCAAGAAAUUAUUAUUUUACUAUCUUUUGUUCUCUAAAUUUUUAAAUAGUAAAGUUUAUGAAAAUUGGGGUGUUACAUAUUAUGUGAGUCUAAUGUGAAUUUUCGAGAAAUUUUCAACAAAGAAAUCCAGAGUUUAGUUUGUCAAGAAUGAGAUAAAAUGGCAUAACUUGUUGAUGUGAAUUAUUUUUGGAUAAAUGAUUUAAGAAUGUUUCAUAUUAUGUCUUUGGCUUUCUAAAAUAAAUUUUUGGGAAUUUUUCCCCAACUAAAAUGUUUUCCGUUUUUUAUAAAAAGUUUUUAAGUAUGUUUGAUAUGAUGUAAAUCAAUUCGAUUAAUUUUGUUGUGAGCUAAUAUGGAAUUUAUAUUUCUUGUGUGUAUGCUUAUCUAUAUGUUUGUUGUCGAUAUAGUUUAGUUCUAUAUUGGGUGAUAAGUCAAGAAUCGAAAUAGUAUUUACUUAGGAAAAGUUUACGAUAUGAGAUCGAGUUAGAUGGAGUGUAGUGUUGGAAUAGUACUAAGAUAGGAAUAGAGUUCUUAGUAAGGAAGUUUCUGACUGAUUUCUUUUAUUCUUAUCAUGAACUACUCUGAUGUGAUGAUACCUGAAGAUACAAGCAGAGGACGGAAGUAAGUUCACCCGAGUGCUACAAGACUAAGCUAAGUUUGUUAUGUGGGCAUUAUUUUACUAUACGUAUAUAGAGAUCCCCUGCGUGUCUUAGGCCUCUUAUACGAAAUGAAAUGAAAGAUAUGAUUUAACUGUUCAGUUUCUGUUUGAUGAAAACUACCAAUGAUGAAUGAUAGAGUUAAAGUUAUGUUUAAACUAAUUGACUUGCCAAUUUUUGAUGAUGAUGAGCUUGUAUGUUACCCUCUACUGAUGAGACGAAUUCGGUCCUGCUACAAGCGGAAUUUUAUGCACAGAGGUGACUGUGAGCCAUCUAUCGGGUCGGCCGGUCAUGGUACCUGAGAGGGAGGCCUACUUCUCAAUACCUUUGAUGAUGAGUUGUAGAUGUGGAUAAGCGAGGAGGGAGAUUGGACUGGUGCUGGUGGGGACUUUGUUUCGAAUGAUGUUUCCUUUUGCCGUAUUUCUAUUUCUUAUGGUAGUACCGUAAUGAUGGAGUUUAUUUUGGAUUUGAUAAAGGAAUAUACUCUUAGCUAUAUGUCUUCAUACAUAUAGUCUAUUCACGUUUUACUGUGAUACUCUGCAUUUUAUGAACCAUUGUAAAUAUUGAACUAUUUCCACUUUGUAAAUAUUGUCGAGAAUCUUGAUACUUUUG
Long non-coding RNA from Salvia miltiorrhiza (redroot sage), 1568 nucleotides. RefSeq lists it as uncharacterized. The transcript is spliced from 3 exons. Lineage: Eukaryota; Viridiplantae; Streptophyta; Magnoliopsida; Lamiales; Lamiaceae. The record is from RefSeq and is a predicted model, not a curated record.